RNAcentral lists this ribosomal RNA (519 nucleotides) under uncultured bacterium. RNAcentral describes it as "bacterial SSU rRNA". It matches the Rfam family "Bacterial small subunit ribosomal RNA", at positions 337 to 867 of the family's 1533-position model. The record is from RNAcentral.
UCCUACGGGAGGCAGCAGUGGAGAAUCUUGCGCAAUGGGCGAAAGCCUGACGCAGCCAGCCGCGUGCGGGAAGAAGGCCUUCGGGUCGUAAACCGCUUUCAGGAGGGAAGAAGCGAGAGUGACGGUACCUCCAGAAGAAGCCCCGGCCAACUACGUGCCAGCAGCCGCGGUAAUACGUAGGGGGCGAGCGUUAUCCGGAAUUAUUGGGCGUAAAGCGCACGUAGGCGGCCAUGUAAGUCGGAUGUGAAAUCCCGGGGCUUAACCCCGGAACUGCAUCCGGUACUGCAUGGCUUGAGGAAGGUAGAGGAGAGUGGAAUUCCCGGUGUAGCGGUGGAAUGCGCAGAUAUCGGGAGGAACACCAGCGGCGAAGGCGGCUCUCUGGGCCUUUCCUGACGCUCAGGUGCGAAAGCGUGGGUAGCCAACAGGAUUAGAUACCCUGGUAGUCCACGCCGUAAACGAUGGGUGCUAGGUGUGGGGAUCAGUUCACGAUCUCCGNGNCGAAGCUAACGCGUUAAGCAC